AAAUGAAUUGACGGGCACCCGCACAAGCGGUGGAGCAUGCUGUUUAAUUCGAAGAUACGCGAAGAACCUUACCUAGAUUUGACAUGCCUGGCAAAGCUAUAGAAAUAUAGUGGAGGUUACCCAGGACACAGGUGGUGCAUGGUUGUCGUCAGCUCGUGUCGUGAGAUGUUCGGUUAAGUCCGAUAACGAGCGCAACCCUUAUCUUUAGUUGCUAACAUUUAGUUGAGUUCUCUAAGGAUACUGCCGGUGACAAGCCGGAGGAAGGUGGGGAUGAGGUCAAAUCAUCAUGCCCCUUACAUCUAGGGCUACAGGCGUGCUACAAUGGCCGAUACAAUGAGACGCAAUACCGUGAGGUGGAGCUAAUCUUCAAAAUCGGUCCCAGUUCGGAUUGGAGUCUGCAACUCGACUCCAUGAAGUUGGAAUCGCUAGUAAUCCUGAAUCAGAAUGUCAGGGUGAAUACGUUCCCGGGUGUUGUACACACCGCCCGU
Molecule: ribosomal RNA, 488 nt
Filed under: uncultured bacterium
Lineage: Bacteria
Description: bacterial SSU rRNA
Rfam family: Bacterial small subunit ribosomal RNA
Source: RNAcentral